UCAGGCCUAACACAUGCAAGUCGAACGGCAGCACGGACUUCGGUCUGGUGGCGAGUGGCGAACGGGUGAGUAAUACAUCGGAACGUGCCCAGUCGUGGGGGAUAACGUAGCGAAAGCUACGCUAAUACCGCAUACGAUCUAAGGAUGAAAGCGGGGGAUCGCAAGACCUCGCGCGAUUGGAGCGGCCGAUGGCAGAUUAGGUAGUUGGUAGGGUAAAGGCCUACCAAGCCGACGAUCUGUAGCUGGUCUGAGAGGAUGAUCAGCCACACUGGGACUGAGACACGGCCCAGACUCCUACGGGAGGCAGCAGUGGGGAAUUUUGGACAAUGGGCGCAAGCCUGAUCCAGCCAGUCCGCGUGCAGGAUGAAGGCCUUCGGGUUGUAAACUGAUGUUGUACAGAACGAAAAGGCUCUGGUUAAUACCCGGGGCUC
Molecule: ribosomal RNA, 431 nt
Filed under: uncultured bacterium
Lineage: Bacteria
Description: bacterial SSU rRNA
Rfam family: Bacterial small subunit ribosomal RNA
Source: RNAcentral